This 74-nucleotide transfer RNA is filed under the name Solirubrobacterales bacterium. RNAcentral's name for it is "tRNA-Pro". It matches the Rfam family "tRNA". Rfam says of the family: Transfer RNA (tRNA) molecules are approximately 80 nucleotides in length. Their secondary structure includes four short double-helical elements and three loops (D, anti-codon, and T loops). Lineage: Bacteria; Bacillati; Actinomycetota; Thermoleophilia; Solirubrobacterales. The record is from RNAcentral.
CGGGGUGUAGCGAAGCUUGGUAUCGCGCUGCAUUUGGGUUGCAGAGAUCGUCGGUUCAAAUCCGGCCACCCCGA